GUGAGGAAUAUUGGACAAUGGGCGCAAGCCUGAUCCAGCCAUGCCGCGUGCAGGAAGACGCAUCUAUGGUGUGUAAACUGCUUUUGUACGGGAAGAAACACUCCCUCGUGAGGGAGCUUGACGGUACCGUAAGAAUAAGGAUCGGAUAACUCCGUGCCAGCAGCCGCGGUAAUACGGAGGAUCCAAGCGUUAUCCGGAAUCAUUGGGUUUAAAGGGUACGUAGGCGGUUUAAUAAGUCAGUGGUGAAAGCCCAUCGCUCAACGAUGGAACGGCCAUUGAUACUGUUAGACUUGAAUUACAAGGAAGUAACUAGAAUAUGUAGUGUAGCGGUGAAAUGCUUAGAUAUUACAUGGAAUACCAAUUGCGAAGGCAGGUUACUACUUGUGGAUUGACGCUGAUGGACGAAAGCGUGGGGAGCGAACAGGAUUAGAAACCCCAGUAGUCC
This 445-nucleotide ribosomal RNA is filed under the name uncultured bacterium. Its description in RNAcentral is "partial 16S ribosomal RNA". It matches the Rfam family "Bacterial small subunit ribosomal RNA", at positions 354 to 796 of the family's 1533-position model. The record is from RNAcentral.